Long non-coding RNA from Cynara cardunculus var. scolymus (artichoke), 332 nucleotides. RefSeq lists it as uncharacterized. NCBI's taxonomy places the organism in Eukaryota, Viridiplantae, Streptophyta, Magnoliopsida, Asterales, Asteraceae. The transcript is spliced from 3 exons. The record is from RefSeq and is a predicted model, not a curated record.
GAUCCGUCUUGAAACGGUCCUUUCUAAGUUAAAUGUUAGUUGCUAUUUUGCAAUGCAUUUAUGGAUUAUCAAGGUAGAACAAUGGGGAUGAUCCAAUUCUAACGGUUGGUUUCAAGAUUGUGGCAUUGAGAGCCAUAAUUAGAUCUAACAUCGAGGUCCUCAAGUAUAUUCAUGAUGGGAUAAAGAAAUAAAACGAAGCUACUUUGAUGUCCUAUUUACUUAUUGCAGAUAAAAUAAUGGAAUUGGCACAUUGAAGAUCUUGGGUUAUAUGAUUUUAGAUUUUUUUUAAAUAAAUUAGAACAAAUAUGUAGAUUGGUUAAAACGUUACGGUU